GAGCAUCUGACUACGGAUCAGAAGGUUGGGGGUUCGAAUCCCUUCGAGCGCG
RNAcentral lists this transfer RNA (52 nucleotides) under Actinomyces sp. S6-Spd3. It matches the Rfam family "tRNA", at positions 21 to 71 of the family's 71-position model. From Rfam's summary of the family: Transfer RNA (tRNA) molecules are approximately 80 nucleotides in length. Lineage: Bacteria; Bacillati; Actinomycetota; Actinomycetes; Actinomycetales; Actinomycetaceae. The record is from Rfam by way of RNAcentral.